Molecule: ribosomal RNA, 495 nt
Filed under: uncultured bacterium
Lineage: Bacteria
Description: partial 16S ribosomal RNA
Rfam family: Bacterial small subunit ribosomal RNA
Source: RNAcentral
GACGAACGCUGGCGGCGUGCCUAAUACAUGCAAGUAGAACGCUGAAGGAGGAGCUUGCUUCUCUGGAUGAGUUGCGAACGGGUGAGUAACGCGUAGGUAACCUGCCUGGUAGCGGGGGAUAACUAUUGGAAACGAUAGUUAAUACCGCAUAAGGGUAGAUGUUGCAUGACAUUUGCUUAAAAGGUGCAAUUGCAUCACUACCAGAUGGACCUGCGUUGUAUUAGCUAGUUGGUGGGGUAACGGCUCACCAAGGCGACGAUACAUAGCCGACCUGAGAGGGGGGUCGGCCACCCUGGGACUGGGACACGGCCCAGACUCCUACGGGAGGCAGCCGUAGGGAAUCUUCGGCAAUGGACGGAAGUCUGACCGAGCAACGCCGCGUGAGUGAAGAAGGUUUUCGGAUCGUAAAGCUCUGUUGUAAGAGAAGAACGAGUGUGAGAGUGGAAAGUUCACACUGUGACGGUAUCUUACCAGAAAGGGACGGCUAACUACGUG